RNAcentral lists this ribosomal RNA (943 nucleotides) under Psychrobacter sp. 27F07-MB1-5. RNAcentral's name for it is "bacterial SSU rRNA". It matches the Rfam family "Bacterial small subunit ribosomal RNA", at positions 508 to 1452 of the family's 1533-position model. Lineage: Bacteria; Pseudomonadati; Pseudomonadota; Gammaproteobacteria; Moraxellales; Moraxellaceae. The record is from RNAcentral.
CCAGCAGCCGCGGUAAUACAGAGGGUGCAAGCGUUAAUCGGAAUUACUGGGCGUAAAGCGAGCGUAGGUGGCUUGAUAAGUCAGAUGUGAAAUCCCCGGGCUUAACCUGGGAACUGCAUCUGAUACUGUUAGGCUAGAAUAGGUGAGAGGAAGGUAGAAUUCCAGGUGUAGCGGUGAAAUGCGUAGAGAUCUGGAGGAAUACCGAUGGCGAAGGCAGCUUUCUGGCAUCAUAUUGACACUGAGGUUCGAAAGCGUGGGUAGCAAACAGGAUUAGAUACCCUGGUAGUCCACGCCGUAAACGAUGUCUACUAGUCGUUGGGUCCCUUGAGGACUUAGUGACGCAGCUAACGCAAUAAGUAGACCGCCUGGGGAGUACGGCCGCAAGGUUAAAACUCAAAUGAAUUGACGGGGGCCCGCACAAGCGGUGGAGCAUGUGGUUUAAUUCGAUGCAACGCGAAGAACCUUACCUGGUCUUGACAUACCUAGAAUCUUGUAGAGAUACGGGAGUGCCUUCGGGAAUUGGAAUACAGGUGCUGCAUGGCUGUCGUCAGCUCGUGUCGUGAGAUGUUGGGUUAAGUCCCGCAACGAGCGCAACCCUUGUCCUUAGUUACCAGCGGGUUAAGCCGGGAACUCUAAGGAUACUGCCAGUGACAAACUGGAGGAAGGCGGGGACGACGUCAAGUCAUCAUGGCCCUUACGACCAGGGCUACACACGUGCUACAAUGGUAGGUACAGAGGGCAGCUACACAGCGAUGUGAUGCGAAUCUUUCAAAGCCUAUCGUAGUCCAGAUUGGAGUCUGCAACUCGACUCCAUGAAGUAGGAAUCGCUAGUAAUCGCGGAUCAGAAUGCCGCGGUGAAUACGUUCCCGGGCCUUGUACACACCGCCCGUCACACCAUGGGAGUUGAUUGCACCAGAAGUGGUUAGCCUAACGUAAGAGGGCG